RNAcentral lists this non-coding RNA (85 nucleotides) under unclassified sequences. RNAcentral's name for it is "RAGATH-28 RNA". It matches the Rfam family "RAGATH-28 RNA". From Rfam's summary of the family: Clostridiales (Firmicutes). Nearby to self-cleaving ribozyme genes The record is from Rfam by way of RNAcentral.
GGCCGGUUGAUUCGUCCCGGCCUGUGGAACGGGUGAACAGGAGACGGAAACCCCGAGCCAAAUGCGGCGGUCGGAAUGGCGAAGC